UUCUUUAUGAAUUUUAUAUAAAGUAAUUUCUGCCCAAUGAAUAAUUUUAUUUAAAUGGCUGCAGUAUAUUGACUGUACAAAGGUAGCAUAGUAAUUAGUUUUUUAAUUGGAAACUUGUAUGAAAGGAUACAUGAGAAAUUUUCUUUAUUAAUUUUAAAAUUAAAAUUUUAUUUUUUGGUAAAAAAGCUAAAUUGUUUUUUAGGGACGAUAAGACCCUAUAGAAUUUAAAAUUUAUUUUAAUUAAGAUAUUUUUUAGAUUAAUUUUGUUUUUUUAAUUUAAAUUUUUAAUUGGGGUGAUUAAUAAACUUAAUAUCUUUUUUUUAUAAAUUCAUAUAUAUAUAUGUUUUUUUUGAUCCUUAAAUUUAAGAUUGUAAGAUAAAUUACCUUAGGGAUAACAGCGUAAUUUUAAUGGAAAGUUCAUAUUUAAAUUAAAGUUUGCGACCUCGAUGUUGAAUUAAGAGUAAUUUAUGGUGUAGAUGCUAUGAUUUUAAGUCUGUUCGACUUUUAUAAUCUUACA
RNAcentral lists this ribosomal RNA (517 nucleotides) under Tripesidia warei. Its description in RNAcentral is "partial large subunit ribosomal RNA". Lineage: Eukaryota; Metazoa; Arthropoda; Insecta; Hemiptera; Cicadellidae. The record is from RNAcentral.